Molecule: long non-coding RNA, 1027 nt
Filed under: Mytilus galloprovincialis (Mediterranean mussel)
Lineage: Eukaryota; Metazoa; Mollusca; Bivalvia; Mytilida; Mytilidae
Source: RNAcentral
GGCAAAGUUAAUACUCUAAAACUUUUAACAAUUUGAUAAAUAACAAUAUAUGCCAAAGAUAAAUCCAAAUAAAUAAAAUGAUGCACUAUUGAAAGUAAAUGUCACUGUUCUUAUGAAUAGUCCGAUAGUAGAAUCACUAGCUGGAAUUGUCUGAAAUAUGAAUUUGCAGAAUAACUGAUUUUAAGGUUGAGAAUGUCUUUUAUCACUUAUUGAAAUGUUCUGAGUAAGUUGGUUGAUUUGAAUUGCCCAAAGUUGUUUAGAAUCACUUAGUUGAAACAAUAUCUUGAGUUGAAGGUCUUGAGCCGUUAGUCUGUCCCAUGUUGUCUGGUUAAGGUGUACAAUGAAUCCAGUUGAUUGGUAGCCAAUCUUGUUAUAACUGAAAAUUGAUUGCAUAGCCAAGACUAGAUACCGACGCUACUCUGUAGAUUCACUCCAAACUCCUUCCACACUGUUGUUAACUGUAACUGCACUAGAUGUUGUAUAAUUAAGUUUGAGUUAAAAUUACUAUGAAAAAGAGAUACUCAAAGACAUUUGUCAUGUGACAUAUAUCCAAAUGUUUCUAAUUAGCCGUAUGUGAUUUAAUUAAAGUACAAUUGAAAUUAAAAAACUGAAAAAUAAACUUAAGGACACCUACAGGAGUUUCCCGCUACAUUGAAGACCCAUUGGUGGCCUUCGGCUGUUGUCUGCUCUAUGGUUGGGUUGUUGUCGCUUUGACACAUUCCCCAUUUCCUUUCUCAAUUUUAUUAAUCCCUUAAUAAAGCAAUAAUAAACAAAUAAUUCUAAAAUUAUCUAACAUACAGAAAAAUAGAUAUGAAAAACUGAAAAAUUCUAAAAAAUAUGAUUAAUACACUGAGAGGGAAAAUACACCCAUGAUGUAUCACUAGUUCCCAAUUGCAGAUAAUGUCAAGAAAUGUAUUUAAUUGUAUAUAUAUAUAGUUUUGAGUUCAAAAGGUUUUAUUUUCAUUAUAUUAGAAUAUUUGAAAAACAAUCCAGUUUUUAUUUUAUUAUACAUUGGUGCUAUAUACGG